Molecule: transfer RNA, 64 nt
Filed under: Dirshacris aridus
Lineage: Eukaryota; Metazoa; Arthropoda; Insecta; Orthoptera; Acrididae
Description: tRNA-Cys
Source: RNAcentral
GGUCUUAUAUUCAAUAAUGAUUCUAGACUGCAAUUCUAGAGGUGUAAAUUAUUUACUAAGGCCU